Molecule: ribosomal RNA, 258 nt
Filed under: uncultured Glomeromycotina
Lineage: Eukaryota; Fungi; Glomeromycota
Description: partial large subunit ribosomal RNA
Source: RNAcentral
CAGUCGUACCGGCGGAUAAUCAGCCUUUCGGGUGCGAUUCUGUGGGGCGUGAGGAGCUUAACCGUCUUCAUGUUUUGCAUAUUCGUGCUCUUGGUGUACUUGCUCGUGUGGUUGGUUAACAUCAAUUUCGGACGCCAUAAAAUGGCUGGAGGAAUGUAGCUUUGAUCUCGUAUCGAAGUGUUAUAGCCUCUGGUAGAUGUGACGAUUGGGAUUGAGGAUUGCAACGGAUACCCUUCGGGGUUACCCGUCUGAUCUCUG